GGGAGCUUUAUGAGAUGCGAGUCUCACGUAGGGUUCUGCGAGGGGCCAGGAAGGAAGUUUUCCUGCUCUACUCUCC
Molecule: non-coding RNA, 76 nt
Filed under: Wolbachia endosymbiont of Armadillidium vulgare
Lineage: Bacteria; Pseudomonadati; Pseudomonadota; Alphaproteobacteria; Rickettsiales; Anaplasmataceae
Source: RNAcentral